GGGAUGUAGCUCAGCUUGGGAGAGCGCUGCUUUCGCAAGGCAGAGGUCGCGGGUUCGAUUCCCGUCAUCUCC
This 72-nucleotide transfer RNA is filed under the name marine eukaryotic metagenome. It matches the Rfam family "tRNA". Rfam says of the family: Transfer RNA (tRNA) molecules are approximately 80 nucleotides in length. Their secondary structure includes four short double-helical elements and three loops (D, anti-codon, and T loops). Further hydrogen bonds mediate the characteristic L-shaped molecular structure. tRNAs have two regions of fundamental functional importance: the anti-codon, which is responsible for specific mRNA codon recognition, and the 3' end, to which the tRNAs corresponding amino acid is attached (by aminoacyl-tRNA synthetases). tRNAs cope with the degeneracy of the genetic code in two manners: having more than one tRNA (with a specific anti-codon) for a particular amino acid; and 'wobble' base-pairing, i.e. permitting non-standard base-pairing at the 3rd anti-codon position. The record is from RNAcentral.